GUCUCUUUGAGAUCUUAAAUCUUCAGGUAGCCUGCUUUUGGGAAAACUGUCAAUCUUAUGAAGCAAUUCUGCAUAUCGUCCAUAGGUCUCCUUUCUAGUUUCUCGUGCUGUCUUCGAAGUUCUUCGGACGAGGAAACGUCGAAGCCAACUUGAUAGCAGGAAUUUAGCAUCAUAUCCGCAGGACCUAGGAUCCAGUCAGUAACGCUCGAUACACCUUGUUCAAGAUCUUCGAUUACUCUAGCGGUAUCUAGAUUCCGUUCCAUCUCCGUCCAGGAAUUCUCGAUAUCCAUCUAGAAAACGAGACGAUAAAUUAUAACUGAGUAUAAAACGAUUUUUAAUAAUUAUUACAUUAAUGUAUUUCUCUAAAUACCUGCGUUAAUUCGAUAGAAUCAAGCAGUUUAUGAAUUUCUUUGAUAGUGUCCAAAGUAUCUUUAGAGGAUUCUCUGCUCAGAGAACUUAUUAAAUUUCUACCUAACAAACAAAUAAGAUUAAUUUACUUUUUCCGUAAUUUUCAUAUAUUGUACUACUGUUCGCAAUAAUUCUUAAUGUUUUAUUAAUUGUAAACGCAAGCCGAAUUUUUGUUUAAUUUUUAAAUAAAACAAUCAUAGAAGAUAAACCUGAUUGCAGUA
Ooceraea biroi (clonal raider ant) is the source of this 629-nucleotide long non-coding RNA. RefSeq lists it as uncharacterized. Lineage: Eukaryota; Metazoa; Arthropoda; Insecta; Hymenoptera; Formicidae. The record is from RefSeq and is a predicted model, not a curated record.